AUUGAACGCUGGCGGCAGGCUUAACACAUGCAAGUCGAACGGUAGCAGGAGAAAGCUUGCUUUCUUGCUGACGAGUGGCGGACGGGUGAGUAAUGCUUGGGAAUCUGGCUUAUGGAGGGGGAUAACUACGGGAAACUGUAGCUAAUACCGCGUAAUAUCGAAAGAUUAAAGUGUGGGACCUUCGGGCCACAUGCCAUAAGAUGAGCCCAAGUGGGAUUAGGUAGUUGGUGGGGUAAAGGCCUACCAAGCCUGCGAUCUCUAGCUGGUCUGAGAGGAUGACCAGCCACACUGGAACUGAGACACGGUCCAGACUCCUACGGGAGGCAGCAGUGGGGAAUAUUGCGCAAUGGGGGAAACCCUGACGCAGCCAUGCCGCGUGAAUGAAGAAGGCCUUCGGGUUGUAAAGUUCUUUCGGUAUUGAGGAAGGGAUGUGUGCUAAUAGUACACGUCAUUGACGUUAAAUACAGAAGAAGCACCGGCUAACUCCGUGCCAGCAGCCGCGGUAAUACGGAGGGUGCGAGCGUUAAUCGGAAUAACUGGGCGUAAAGGGCACGCAGGCGGUUAUUUAAGUGAGGUGUGAAAGCCCCGGGCUUAACCUGGGAAUUGCAUUUCAGACUGGGUAACUAGAGUACUUUAGGGAGGGGUAGAAUUCCACGUGUAGCGGUGAAAUGCGUAGAGAUGUGGAGGAAUACCGAAGGCGAAGGCAGCCCCUUGGGGAAUGUACUGACGCUCAUGUGCGAAAGCGUGGGGAGCAAACAGGAUUAUAUACCCUGGUAGUCCAAGGGCGAAUUCCACAGUGGAUAUCAAGCUUAUCGAUACCGUCGACCUCAAAAGGGGGCCCGGUACCCAGUUUUUGUUCCCUUUAGUGAGGGGUUAAUUAUGGUGUGCUUUGGGUUUUUUGUGGUGUUGUGUUACUGUAUUAUUUUGUGGUGCUGUUGUGUGUGCUGAUUUUUGUGUGGUGUUUGGUGGGUCGCUGGUGUGUGUGUGAUGGUUGUGUGUGUGUGUGUUUUGUGUUGUGUUGAUGUGAUGUGUGUUGUGUGUGUGGUGUAUUGCUUGCUGUGCCAGUGUGCUGUGAUUG
This 1078-nucleotide ribosomal RNA is filed under the name uncultured Lachnospiraceae bacterium. RNAcentral's name for it is "bacterial SSU rRNA". The stretch from base 1 to 864 matches the Rfam family "Bacterial small subunit ribosomal RNA". The record is from RNAcentral. Lineage: Bacteria; Bacillati; Bacillota; Clostridia; Lachnospirales; Lachnospiraceae.